GAUGAACGCUGACAGAAUGCUUAACACAUGCAAGUCGAUGGGGAAGUGGUGCUUGCACCAUGGCAACCAUGGCGGACGGGUGAGUAACGCGUAAGGGACUUACCUGCAGGACUGGGAUAACAGGGGGAAACUCCUGACAAGACCGGAUAAUGUCAUGGAGCUGCAUGGCUUUAUGAUGAAAGGAGACGCCUGCGGAGAGCCUUGCGUCCUAUUAGCUAGUUGGUGAGGUAAUGGCUCACCAAGGCGAAGAUAGGUAGCCAGCCUGAGAGGGUGGACGGCCACAAGGGGACUGAGAUACGGCCCUUACUCCUACGGGAGGCAGCAGUGGGGAAUAUUGGACAAUGGGGGCAACCCUGAUCCAGCAAUUCUGUGUGCACGAAGAAGGUUUUCGGAUUGUAAAGUGCUUUCAGCAGGGAAGAAGUAAGUGACGGUACCUGCAGAAGAAGCGACGGCUAAAUACGUG
Molecule: ribosomal RNA, 463 nt
Filed under: uncultured bacterium
Lineage: Bacteria
Description: partial 16S ribosomal RNA
Rfam family: Bacterial small subunit ribosomal RNA
Source: RNAcentral